This is a long non-coding RNA of Cebus imitator (Panamanian white-faced capuchin), 653 nucleotides long. RefSeq lists it as uncharacterized. The record is from RefSeq and is a predicted model, not a curated record. The transcript has 2 exons. Lineage: Eukaryota; Metazoa; Chordata; Mammalia; Primates; Cebidae.
GCAGCCUGGCUUCGACAUCCCAGGGAAUUGCGUCACUCCCAUUGGGCAGCUGUGGUGGCCUCUCCCACAUGGCCCAGGUCUACAGCUCCAUUAAAGGUCACACAGCCCAGACAAAAAUAGGACAGAGCAGCGUGUCAACAAGCCAGGCUUUCUCCUUCCUUCCACGUAAUAAAAGGUGCCUCAGCUUGUUGAAACACAGUCCAUUUCCCCUGGGAUAGAACAGGAAUGACAGGAAUUUUAGGGAUGCUGACUUUCAAGGAAUACCACAUGACAGGCAUCAAGAUAAACCUGAUGAAGAGAUCACAAGCCAGAAUCUGGGAAUCAGCAGCAAAGUGACUCAGCUUCGGGGACAGGCAUGUGAUGAGGUCAUGAUGGAGGAGACCCCCUGCAGGGCCAGAGAUCCCUGCCCCCUGGGCUGUUCUGUCUCUUUCAGAACCUGCCCUUGGGACAGGAUUGAGCAGGUGCCUGUGUGCGCAGAAGCCCUUGUGUGAGAGCCCUUUGGGUACCAUGUUUGCAGCACGAUCGUCUGAGACCCCUCACAGCCGCUUGGUUCGGCCUCUCCCUCCUCUCUCUCCUGGGGCACAUCAUCCCUCACCACUGGAAGGAAUUACAAGUAUUGUGUAAACAAUUACAAGUAUUCUACAAACAAUGAA